This 40362-nucleotide long non-coding RNA is filed under the name Vitis vinifera (wine grape). RNAcentral's name for it is "long non-coding RNA (VVIN_LNC004419)". Lineage: Eukaryota; Viridiplantae; Streptophyta; Magnoliopsida; Vitales; Vitaceae. The record is from RNAcentral.
GCUUCCUGUUACAUUGUUAUCCGUUCAAGCUGUUGAAACAACACUCAAAAUUUCAAAGAUUAGAAAACGAAAUACCGUGCAAAUGGCAAAUGCAAAACUUCCGCUAUUGCUAAAAUAAGGUUACCAUUGCCAACUUGAGUUCUAACAAAAGGGGUAAAACAAGUUUGCCAUAAAAGCAAAAGAAUUUAACAUCUCAAGCAACAUAUCGCAUAUGGUGAUAGAUAAAAGUCAUUUGAAGUUGCUUUCUGUCGUAGCUCUUAACAGGAGCAUUUCAAUAACCUAUUAAGCAGGCCCGUGACUAGACACAAAAUGGUAUAGGUUAACGCCCAGCAGGAGCAGCACUAGCCUCUGGCCUGCUCACAAUUGAAAAAAACCUGAUCCUGUUGACAUCACAACUAAUAGUCCCGCUUGUUUGGACACUCUGAUGCUCUGUGGCCAGACCUCCCGCAGGUGAAGCAUGAACCUCCAAAGCUUCUGUCAUAAUAACAUCUCAUGUUAGACUACUUUUUUUUUAUAGGUAACAUCUCAUGUUAGACUAUGAGUUCAAUUAUAUCAUUGCCGGUGGUUAGAUGGCAAUAACCUUAGAUAAUUAACAUCUUCAAGACAUAAUUGAUAUUAGAUAAAAAAUUUAUAUUAUAAAAUUAAAUUUGCAGGUAAAAAGAACUAAAAUCAUGAAUAUGGUUUAAAAGUAAGAAGAAUUUUAUAUUUUUUUAAAUAAAAAAUAUUGAAAUGUAAUAUAAUUUUUAUUUUAAGCAGUGAAAAAUAAUAUAUAUUUCAUUUUAUUUUUUUAUUCAUUUUACAAACUAAACUAAGUAUAACAUUACAUAUCUCAUUAGAUAUGUUACUUUAAGAUAUCAUAUCAAUUAAAUUUAAUAUCCAAUUGCAUAUGAUAUCCUACGAUAUACAUAUUUUAUUCUAUCCUAUUACGCCUAUCAAAUGUAACCUUAAUGCAUAAAAGGAGGGGAAAAAACUCACCAAAAAUGCUUAUGAAAAGGUAUAGCAUGAAAGAAUUACCUCUCCCUACUUCCAAAAGAUGAUGAUGACCGGUUUGAUCGCCUACCACCAAUUAGCCAAUCAUCCUCACUGGUUCUUAAGUUUCGAGACCAAUUAUUAUUGGAUCUGAAACUCCGGCCACCACGCCUAUUCAAAUCAUCACCACCAUCGUCAUCAGAGCCCCAGCUGCUGCCCCGACCACGUGAUAUCCUAGAACCUCUCCGUUCUCUAGAACCACCUCGAGAACUCCGAUCCCUAUUGGAAAAUCUGCCGUAGUAGUCACCUGCAGGCCCAUCAUCUUGCAAAGCAGGCAACUGCCAAAACAUAGCAUUUCAGUUACUCAAAAGCAAUUUAACACAGGGAACCUAUCUCAAAUAAAAAUCAACAGCAGUUUACAUAAAUCAAAUCAUGGACAACUUGAAUAAGUCUUCAGAGUCCAGACAGAGGAGGCUAUGACAAGAAACAUGACCAACAUCUUAAACCAACCUUUGUAAUCUUGGAAAUAGUGUUCCCAGGUGGCAUUUGCUUAUUCAGCAGCUCUUUUGCAAUCUCCUCUGGAAGAUCAAAGACUGCUCCUUGAACCUGAUCUCAUUAAAGUCAAUGACUUGUUUACAGCAAAACUGAUGGAGACAUGUAGGAAUAUAAAUCAACAAAAUGUUGUUGCAAAUACGCACCCUUUCAUCAGCAACUAAGUAUAUUUUUCCUAAUUCAUCAGCAGCUGUAGGAUAAACAUCAGAAAGAAAUCCAGUGACAGAUCUAGCAGAAAGGAACCCUCUAGAAUAACCAGAAUCACGUGUCAAUUGUAAUGUCACCCAUCCCUGCAACAAAAAUGUCCAAUCCAAAUCAAAUAAUCAAAUACCUGCAGAAGGGAUAAAAAUAGAUACUCUAAAAAUAGGAAGUUAAUGAGAAAAGAGAUACAAAGUAGCCAAAUUGGCAUAUUAGGCAUCAUGCCCAAACAAGAAGAAAGAAACAAAGAUUUCUGCAAUUGAAAAUACACAAACAUACUGAGAAGUAAAAAGAAAGCUGCAGAUAUACAACAUGCACAAAACAGAAUUCGUGGACUCCAAAGCCCCCAUAACCUAACCACAUUACAACAAAGACAAACCCCUGAUGACUGAGCCCCACACACCCCACUCCCCAUCAACUAUUGCACUAAAAAAGUGACAGAAUCUAGAACCAAAAUCUUAAGCCAUUCUUGGCACAACAAACAUGCACCAUGCAAAGCACAUUUUAAGUAUUUACUUCCCAAGACUCAAAACUAUAAGGAUUUAAGAGAAGUAACCAAUAUGAUAUUAUAUUUCUAGCUUUUCAUGUUUAAUUUACAGUUGAAGAGCUUAAAAGAGUUACCUUUAAGGAAAUUCAAGCAUUUCUAAGACUUAAAAGAGUUACCUGUUCAUGGCUAAUAAGAGACCGGAAUGAAGGAGGCUGCGAGAAACCACUCAGGUGUGCCAGCGCAGCUGCAAGAGCACCUGUUCCUUUUUCUUCAAUCAGUUUCUGUGCAGUUGGGGUAAAGAACUCCACAGACUCGGGAUGAACUCCAUUAAGAGUAGCAACAACUUGUUCAGCUGAUGACUCCAAAACCUCUUCAAUAGCUGGUGGGCUAAUAAACUCAAAUUUGCAUCCCACAUCACGUUCAAGGGAUUUGACUGUUCUCCGCUGGCUACUAGUAAACAUCAGAAUGGCAGUGCCCUCUUUUCCUGCACGUCCAGUACGACCAGAGCGAUGCACAAAAGUCUCUGGAUCAUUGGGCAAUUCAUAGUGGAUAAUCUGGAGAAAAAGGAGGUCCACAUACUUCUGAAUAUGUUGAAAACAUAAUUUUGACUAAAUGUUUAAUGCAAAAAGGCCCCCAAGUUAUCAAGUUUAAAACACUACACGAAACGCAACCGGAAUCAGGUCUAGAAAACCAUGCAAGUUAACUUAAUUGCUGUCAAACAUCAGAAUAACAAGUCCAGACAGGACAUUCAGUAUAAAUUAGCUCCACAAUUUACUAAAGGUAAAGCAUCCAAAGAAAUGCUCCUAAAGUUAGGGUGCAUUUCUUCUGAAACUGCAUUUUUCUUCCCACUGUUGCUAUGAUACAGAGGUUCAUCAGAUUAAGUAAUAAGUAAACGUCAUAACUAAACCCUGAUUUUUUUUUUAUUUUUUUUUUUGUUGAAAAAAAUAGUUAACCCUGAUAUUUUUUGUUCAUCAGAUUAAGUAAUAAUGAAAUUUCAUAACUAAACCCUGAUUAUUUCAAUUGAUUUUUUUUGUUGAAAAAACGGUUAGCUUAGCUCCCUGAUUUUUUCAACUGAUUUUUCCUUUUUGUUGAAAAAAUGGUUAGCCCCACUGUUGCUGUGAUACAGAGGUUCAUCAGAUUGAGUAAAAAUUAAAUGUCAUAAUUAAUCCCCGAUUUUUUCAACUGAUUUUUUUGGUUGGAAAAAUAAUUAGCUUAGCUCUUAUUAUUAUUAAUAAAUUAACUCAAACACCACAUUUAUAUUAAUUUUAAAAAGAUAUUAAGCUACAUUACUUCUUAAAAAGUUAAUAAAUGAUGAGUGAUCAUAAAAGAAAUAUCAUCUACUUACUAAAUCAACAUUAGGAAUAUCAAGCCCACGCGCCGCAACAUCAGUAGCAACAAGCACAGUGAAUUUUCCUUGACGGAAACCAUUUAACGUUCUCUCCCUUUGAUGCUGAGAUAUAUCACCAUGCAGUGCCUCCGAAGCAAUGCUAUUUGUUAGUGCCAUUGAGACUUCAUCAGCAUCUCGCUUUGUCUGUGUGAAAACAAUGGUCUUCCCACCCUUUGCAUAGACCUGAUCACAAUAGAGUACAAUUCUAUAAUGAAAACUAAAUCUCACAAUGGCUCAAUUAGCAGUGCCCCAUCCAAUAUAUUGGGUGAGAACAAGCAACCCAGAGAAACCCUUUUACCAUUUAUGCAAUGAAGCCAUCAUCCACAAUUAAGGUGGAUUAUACUUUCAAGUGAAGAAUACCUUAUGUCCAUAUUGGAAUCCUCCACGAUCUUUCACUAUAUUUUUCUACCAAAUAUACCACAUGUGCUCUUCAAGAUAAGCACAAUUAUUUACAAUCAGUAACAAGAACGAUAACAUGGAAAAUUUAUGUCUUUCAGACAUUGGGAAAAACUGUAAUAUGUAUAUGUUACUUUUGUUUGUGCAAUACCUCCUAUCAAUUCCAGAAAUGGAGGGGAAGAAGUACUACCAAAUGACACUCACUAUUCCUUUUCUAAAAAACCUACAGAUUAUGUGAGAUGCUUCUCCUAUCCAUAUUGACAGGCCAUUUCCAAGGAAUAAUCAACUGCAUAUUAUGAAGAAGACAUGAUAUAAAUUAAUGUUGAUUCUUGAAUAUAUUGAGCAGGUUGAGAUUAAUAACAUAUCAAAAUCAGAAUUGCCUACUAUAUUGCAUAACAUGAAAGAAAACAAUACCAUUAAGAAGAAAUCCACACCAUACCGUUAUAAGAUCACUAAGAAUGGUCCGCUUAGAAGUUGCAGUUGUUGGUAUUGCAUAGAGCUUGAUGCCUUCUGCCAACUUUUCAUCAUGGUCACCCACCUAAGGGAAAAGCAGAAAAAAAAAAAAGGAAAAAGAAACAGUAUUCAACAUUUGUUCUCAUAUUAAAUUGGCACAGGAAAAGAUAUUGACAUACAUGCAGAGAAUCUCAAGUCAAUAUCAACUAGAAACCUUCGUAUCUUUGCAAAAUAAAUGAAAAGAUGAUGAAAAUCACUAGAAAGCAGAGGUAACAGGACAGUGUAUGUUAAGUAAAAUGUUAAUAUACCCUACUUAAUGUGCAACAAGGAACCUAAAGCACUAGUCAUCACCCUUAGCCCCUCGCAGUAUCCAUUUUUUAUGUGUCAGAAGAAAUGAGGAGUUACCCAUGCUGAAAUAGUGAUCAUAAGGCUUGACAUUAAUGGAUAAAAAGUCAAUUUGAGAGUUUUAUUGUACCAAGCCAAGUAAAAGGGUUUCAUUCACUGAGUUUAGGAAGUAUAAAUCACAUAAAAUACUACAUUCGUCUGCAACUUCCCCAUUCAAAAUCAACCACAAAGUUUCACAUAGCUCCAACAGUCCAGCUAAGAACAUAGAGUCAAAUUUCUAUGAACAAAAUAAUGUUUAAUAUUUUCUCAACAAAAUUCCAAUUUUAUGCUACAUACUCAUGCCUCACAUGAUAUGGUAGCACUACUAUCCGUCUUCCAGCUUCACACCAAACAAUCAAUUAGGAGGACCAAUCAGCAUAAGGCAAUAUUCCAGGCUGGGGAUGAUUACCAAUUAACACAGAAAAAGAACCAAAUAAUGAUCCAAUCAUCAUAUUGACUAGCUGAAUAAGCAUUUGUAUUAUAGAGAAAAUCUUGAACUUUCUGCUUGAGUACUAUCUACAUUCUUGAUAAUCAAGUUUCAAUUCAAAAUGUGAUAGAAGAGGUUUUGAAAUGAGUCCAGAACUUUCAUGGGUAUCUUCAGAAUUAAAAAGCUUUACCCGCCUACCAGAUAAUGUUAGAUGUAUUUCACUGUAAUUCUACACUUGCAAAAAAUGACAAUAUUUCAUUUGCUAAAAGUCCAGGAGCACACAUAAGAUUACACAAACAGGUAGAGCAGCAGCUUUUAAGCUGUCCUCUGAGAAAAAGGAAACAAGUCAAGUUAAAAAAAUCAAGCUGCCUGAGAAAAUACCUUGAAGAACUCCUAGGGCCUCUAAUGAAAUAUUCACAAAAAUGUUUUGCAGCAAAAUUCUUGCAGGUUAAAUUUUGUACUGAAAUUGCAAAAUGAUUUGUCAUUGACUGUCACAACCAAAUAAAAAGAACAGAAAAAGCAGUUGUUAUGGGUUCCUCCAGUAUAGGCAUCACAAGUGAAGAGGAACAAAAAACAGAAUAGGAGCACACCACAAUGUCAUCAUUGCAAAUUAAAGAAAUGGAUGUUAGGAUAAACAUUCAAGAGACACCAUAAGCCACAUUUUCAAUGCUCAAAUUCAAUUAGUUAGAAGGAUAGGCAAGUUCACAAAACAUUUUCCUUGAAUUAUAGUUAGCCCUGAGGCCUAGCUUACAUGGUCAAGGGUUUGGGGAGGGUUUUUGGGAGGUUCCAAGUUCAAGCCCCAAUGGGGACAAAAAUUUCCCUAUCAAAAACCAGGAAAAAAAAAAUCCCCUGAAUUAUACUUGGGAAGGUUAAGUAGAAUACUAAACACUGAAGAUAUGGCUAUUGGCAAAAAAUAAAUGGAAAGUGAAAACCGUGUUGCUUGGACCAUAUAGUUGGCAUGUCGCACUUCAAUUCAGUGAUAGAUCCAUUUCCUUACCACCUUUAGUAUGAACUUUUAUCUAAUAUUUUUUUUCAAGAACAUAAUUAUUGAUAAAUAACUUUGACACUGUUAAAAAAAGAAACUUUGUAUUAGAGGAACAUACUAAGAACUAUAUCAUCCAGAGACUAACAAUAAAGUUAGGUUAAUAACCAUACAUACAUGCAUAUAUGAAUAGCUUUGAAGAAGACCAUCUAUAAAUUGUGCCUUAUAGCAAAUCUAAAAAAAUGACUAAAAUACAUAAAUCCACACCAUAUUCAAUCCUGCCGUGUUGAGAAAUAGGGAAGUUUGGAAAAUAAGGAACAAAGUAUUACCAAAUCAAUUGUCAAAGGAUUGUCCAAAUAUUUCCUUGCAAGUUUCUUUACCCAAGCAGGCAUGGUUGCAGAGAAAAGCAUACUUUGGCGCUCAGAUGGGAGUUUUUCUAAAAUAACUUCAACAUCUUCCUCAAAUCCGACCGCAAGCAUUUGAUCAGCUUCAUCAAGGACCAAAUUCUGAACUUCUCCCAAUUUGAGGCUGUUGCCCUUGAUCAGGUCAAUGAUUCUACCUGGAGUGCCAACCACAACGUCAACUCCACGGGAAAGUGCAUUUUGCUGUGUGAUAUAAGAAACUCCUCCAUAGACACAAACUGUGCUCAAAUAAGGUGCAGACUCUUUAAUUUCCUUCUCCACUUGCUUUGCUAACUCCCUGGUAGGUGCUAGGACCAAAACUCUAGGAAGCCGUCCAGACCGCCUUCAAACACACAAACAAAGAAAUGAAACCUCGAACCAGUUAACAUAGCGGAGAUUUUAUGUGUACACGUCACAAGGAGUACCUCUGAGAUGUUCUUUUUUCAUCAUCUUCACUGAGGCGUUUAAUAAUUGGGAUUCCAAAGGCUAAUGUCUUCCCUGUCCCAGUCUUUGCCCGGGCAAUGAGAUCUCGACCUUCUAGAGCAGGCACUAACACAGCUCUCUAGAAUUUUAAAGGAAAAGCAAGAAGAAAAGCAAGUUUUAUCUCAGAAAACAAAAAACAAUUCAGAGAACGAGAAAGAAAACCCCAAAAAUAAACUAUCGUCCUAUUGAAGGCAAAUAUGAGUCCAGUUUGAAUACGAAACACUGAGAUUAAUAAUUCAAACAACAUUUAACUGCAAUGAAACAAAGCAGAAAAUGCAUGUAUACACACCUGAAUGGGGAAGAGAUGUGUAAUUCCUCGUUGUUCGAGGGAUUCGACGAGGCGCGGAGGCAAACCCAAUUGGGCAAGAGCGAGUUCGUCUUCUUGGGCGGCAGCAGAGGCCUCAAUUUCAGGGUCGUAGUCGUCAUCUGUGUCAGUGACAUCCAAAGGAUCUUUAGAGAAACCACCGAGACCUUUGAAGGCCUCUUCACUCAGCACCGAAUUAGGAGUAGCAAUGGCAGAGGGAACGAAGGAAAUGCCCUGCUUGAAACUUCUCCUUAGAGAAGCAUCUGAGAGAACCCUGGUGUUUGGAGCUUUGAAAACGCCUAAGUGAGUCUUAUCGGAGAAUGGCAGAGAAAGGGAAUGUGCAGAUGUCCUUCUAGAAAGCUCAAGAGCCGUCGUCUGGUAAACAGAAGAAACGCCUAUAAUAGAAGAAGCCAUUGAUACCAGGGUGUGUAAAGUCCAGCCCCAGGUGCUAGAACCGAAUAGAAGUAAAGGUUGGUAGUGACCCAAACCCUCUUCCGCCUUUUCUGCCGAUGGAUUGCGGAAGGGAUUCUGUAGUUGCCCGGUACUAAGUUCAAAGUUCUCAGCCACUCACAGACACUAACCAACUUAGGAGAGGAAGAGAGGGAGAGAAGAAGAGAGGCGGCGUGGGCUACAGAGAGAGAGGAGGGAUAGGGUGGAACUCAGAUAAGGCCACCCCUUCGAAAUGUAUGGCGCUGCAAACCUCCACCUCGUUCCCAAGUGUCGGAACCACAGCAGAUCCUUUUUAUGCAAAUAUCUCCCAAAGUUCCAUUCAGCCCCUGCCCUAACCCUAUAUAAAUAUCUUUCACCGUUUUUCUCGCCUCUCUAUGUAUUUUGCCCGUUUCUGUUUUUAUUUUUGAUUCCUUAAUUAUUUUUUGGUGGUGAAGGACCAUUUGUUAUGCACAAAAUUGAAUUUUACGUCUUACAGAAAAUUAUUUUUCUGAAAAAAAAGUUCAAAAAAAUGACGGUUAAAAAAUUAUCUUAUGAUAUACGGAGCUUUAUGCCAAUGCUAAGUAGGGAAAAAAAUCGUGUUUUAUUAAACAAUUUUCAAAAUUAAAAAAAAUAAUUUUUUCUUUAUUUAGAAAAAGGGUGUGGACCCCGUAUUUCGGUUCAUGUGUUUUCUACUCGAUAGCAAGCUCGAUUUUUAUUUGAAAAUGAUUUUAUUUAGUAAACAAAAUAAGAAAGAAAACUCUAAGUGUGACUCCUUAUUUUAGAAAAUAUGGUCUAUGAAAACUAAAUCGGAUUCGGGGGUCAGGUUACUUAUCGAAAAGGUACGAUGAAGACCGUAAUACCCCUCUAAGUCCUUAAAGUCGGGUCUCUAUUAAUAAAAUGAAGCUGAUAUGACAAUCAAUAGGAUGCAUAGAGAAUGACCAGAAUGAGAGUGGAUGCGUACCUGGCCACGAACGAGCAAUAUGCUAUCAUAAAAAUGGGGUAAGUGUACAAUAAAGAGUACAAAACAUAUCACAUGCAUCACCAAACAUAAAUUAAAACGGUUCGAAGGAAAACUGGAUUUUUGAAAUUUAUUGAAAAAUUGGAGUCUUAGAGAUUAUUUGAAAAUUGGAGUUUUAGAGAUCAUUUUAAAAUCGGAUUUUUAGAAAUUAAAUGUAAGAAUGAGAAUUUUAGAAAUUAAAUUUGAAAGAGAUUGGAAUUUUGAAAAUUAUUUGAGAGUUCGGGAUUUUAAAAAAUUAAAUUAAGAAAAUUGGGACCUUGAAAAUUAAAUUUUGAAAUAAAUCAGAAUUGAAAAUUAUUUGAGAAGCAGAAACUAUGGAAAUUGAAUUAUAAAAAUUGAAAAUUUUGGAAAUCAUUCGAAUGCAGAAUUUUUAGAAAUAAAUGAAUAAAAUAAUAACAAUAAUGAUAAUAAUAAUAAGUAACGGAAUAAAUGCGAUAAUUGGAAUAUUGGAAAUUGAAAAUUAAGUUCGGAAAUUGGAAAAUUGGAAUUUUAGAUAACUAAAUUUGGAAAAUUGGAAUUUUAAAGAAUUAUUUAAAGACGAAAUUUUAAAUAAAUGAAUAAGUAGAUAAAUAAAUGAAUGGAAUAAUAAUAAUGACAAAAUAAUAAUGAUUGGAUAAAUAAUUGUGGAAGUUAGGAUUUCGGAAAUUGAAAAUUGAACUUAGGGAUUGAAAAUUUAAAGAAUUAUUUAGGGAUGAAAUUUUAAAUAAAUGAACAAGUGAAUAAAUGAAUGAAUGAAAUAACGAAAAUAAUAAUAAUAGGAUAAAUAAUUACGAAGAUGAGAAUUUUGGAAAUUGGAAAUUGAAUUUAGAGAUUGGAAAUUUAAAGAAUUAUUUAAGGAUGAAAUUUUAAAUAAAUGAAUAAGUGAAUAAAUAAAUGAAUAGAAUAACAAAAAUAAUAAUAAUAGGAUAAAUAAUUACGAAGAUGAGAAUUUUGGAAAUUGGAAAUUGAAUUUAGAGAUUGGAAAUUUGAAGAAUUAUUUAGAGAGGGGAUUUUAAAUAAAUGGAUAAGUGAAUAAGUGAAUGGAAUGACGAAAAUAAUAAAGAUUGGACAAAUAAGUGCGAAAAGUAGAAUUUUAGAGAUUGGAGAUUGAAUUUAUAGAUUGAAAAUUUGAUAAAUUAUUUAAAGACGAGAUUUUAAAUAUAUGAAUAAGUGAAUAAAUAAAUGAACGGGAUAAUGAUAAUAACAAAAAUAAUCAUUAAACAAAUGAAUGUGAAUAGUGGAAUUUUUUAGAUUGGAAAACGGAAUUUUGAAAAAUUGAACUUUAAUUAUUGGAAUUUAUAAAAUAAAUUAGUGGAAUAAUAAUAAUAAUAAUGAAAAUAAUAUUGAAACGAAUGAACGUGAAUAGUGAAAUUUUUUAGAUUGAAAAUUAAAAUUGGAAAUAAAUAAAUAAAUAUGGAAUAAUAAUAAUAAUAAUAACAAAAAUACCGUUUAAACGAAUGAACGUGAAUAGUGGAAUCUUUGAUAUUGAAAAUUAAAUUCGAAAGUAAGAUUUUUGAAGAAUUGAACUUUAAUGAUUGAAAUUUUUAAAAGAAAUAAAUAAAUGAAUAUGAAAUAAUAAUAAUAACAAAAAUAAUAUUUAAACGAAUGAACGUGAAUAGUGGAAUUUUUUAUAUUGAAAAUUAAAUUCGGAAAUCAGAUUUUUGAAGAAUUAAACUUUAAUGUUUAGAAUUUUUAAAAUAAAUAAAUAAAUAAAUACAUAUGAAAUAAUAAUAAUAAUAAUAAAAUAAUAUUUAAACGAAUGAACGUGAAUAGUGGAAUUUUUUAGAUUAAAAUUUUGAAGAGUAAUUUAGUGAUGAGAUUUUAAAUAGAUAAAGGAGUGAAUAAAUAAAUGAAUGGAAUAAUAAAAAUAAUAAUGAUCGAAUAGAUAAUUACAAAGAUAGGAAUUUUGGAAGUUGAAAUUGAAUUUAGAGAUUGAAAAAUUUGAAGAAUUAUUUAAAAAUAGAAGUUUUAAAAUUAGAUAGAUAAAUAAAUAAAUAAAGUAAUAAUAAUAACGAAAAUAAUAAUAAUUAAAUAAAUAAAUAUGAAAAACGGAAUUUAAAUUUGAAAAUCGAAAUUUUGAAGAAUUAUUUUAAAAUUGAAGUUUUUUUUAAAUAAAAAAUAAAUUCAAAAAUAAUUAAAGUUUGGAAAAUUAAACUUAAAAAUUAGAGUUUUGAAAAAUUAAAUUAAAAAUUUUGGAAUUUCGAAAACUUAUUUGAAAAUAGAAGUUUGGAAAGUUAAAUUAAAUAAUAAUGAUGAUGAUGAUGAUGAUGAUAGUUUGGAAAGCUGCUUGUAUUAAGGGAUAAAGUGUAUUAAGGGAUUAGUUAUUUGAAGGGAAAGAAAAUUCCAUCUCUCUGUUUUUUCAAGCAUGUGGGUUUUUAUAUUUUUUUUCAUUGUUCCCUGCUUUCUCAGCAACCAGACACAACAUUAUAGUUUCUUUAGAGAUAAACAAAAUAAGAAGCUAUGUUUUGACUCUCCACGAUCCGAAUAUGUGAGUUUGGGAACAUAGAAAAGCUUUAUGCAGUGGAAGGAAGCAGAUUUGAUGGCACCACCAGCGGAGCCAGUCUCGUGAGCAUCCAUGGUGGAGGGUGAGAUAGGAGGAGAGAGAGGUGGAGUUGGAGAUGGAGAUGGAGAUGGUCAUGCAUGGUAUGCUAUAUGUAUGUAGAUGGUGAGUGGGUAGGGGUUUGAAGGAUAUGCAUGAAGAGUGGUGGAUGCCGCUGGUGGAAUAGAUAAUGAAGGGUGGUGAGAAAAUGAUUAAAGGGUUAGAGAAGGUUUAGAGAGAGAAAAUGGGUUUACGGGUUUAGUAUGAGGUGGUGAAAUGGGAUGGUUAUAUUCAUGCAUGUGGUAUGUAUGGAAGAUAUGGAGGCUAAGUAGCAAAUUAUAUGGGUAUGAGGGAUGGAUUUGGUAGGUAUGGAGCAAUGGGUUGGAUGGUUGGAUGGGAACUAGGAUAGCUGAGGUGGUGAGCAUGGUAUGGGUUCAAUGUGGCGACGCAUGACCAUGCAAGAGUGGAGAGAACUGGAAACUCUCAUUACCAUAAUCAAACAUCAAACCAAAAUGGCCAGCCUUUUACAGGGGAAAGAUCAACAAAAUUAGAGAAAACAAAAAACAGAGCAAGCACAUGUUGGUAAUCGUAUUCAACUAAAACAAAUCUGUGGUCCUGGAUGCCCACAGCCAAUCACAAAAUAAUCUUCAUGGAUUAACAGAAGACCUUACUUGAAAAUCCAGAGUGCUAACCUUCCUCUCUCCCGUUCCCCUCGUCUGAAUAUCCCCACCCUGAAAAAACAAACCAGACCUCCAAUGCCAACCUUUCUUCUCACUGCCUUUUGCCCAACUGCUCCUGUUCCAUCCCCCCAUCUCUUACUCAGAGAUGUCUCUCUCAUCAACCACCACCAUGGUGAGUUAGUGACGUGUCCCAUGCAGCUUCACUCUUCUGAAACCGUCCCCCACUCCUCCAAAUGAAGAUGCAGCUCACUCCCCGUUCUUCCAGUGCAAAAAAAAGGCCUUUGGUCCCUUAAGGGGUCAAAGGACUUUUCAAGACCCGAAAUCAUCUUUUAAGACAAAUGAUUUAAGUAGAUAAAGAAACAAAGGGAACCAUUACAAUUUUAGAAUUAAAAAAAAAAAAAAAACUGCAUAAAGACGUCGUUGCUCUUAAAGAAGAUUUUAGCCAAAAACAAGAUGUUAUGAUUUCCUUUCCGUAUUAAAUUAUUUUUGAAAUGAAAAAAUUAUUUAUUUUGUUUUAAUUUUUAAAUUAGUUUUAUUAAGUAAACUUUAAAAUCUAAAAAAAAAAAAAUCUUUAUCUUAAAAUUUAAUUGUUCUAUUCAUAAUUGAAAACCAUUUCUUGGGGAAAAAAAAACUCAUAAAAACAUAGAAAAAGAAAUCAAUUUCUUGUUUUUAAAAUUAAAAAAAUUAAUUUUUCGUUUUCAAAAUUGAUUAAUGUAAAUUAAAGUUUAAGAGAAAAUUCAAGAUUAAAAAAAAAAUAUUUUCCAAUCCUUGUUCAACUUAAUAUAAAAUAAUAUUUAUUUUUAUACUUGAAAGAUUUUCAAUCUUAAUUAUAAAUGGUAAAAUUGGCACCUUCCAAAACCAUAAAUUUGAAAAUUAAUUUUGUAUCAUCACAUUUUAAGGAAAAUUAAACAUGUCCAUCCACGUUACAAAAAAAUCUAACUAAUUAAAAAGAUGUUAAAAUAAGAAUCAAGAUAGCCUCCAUAAAAGAUUUUUUAUCCUUUUAACAAGGAGAUAAUAUGUAGCAUAUUUUCUAUUCAAAAAAAUACAUCACAUCAAUUCUUUCUAAAAAUAUUUACGCAAUUUUAAAUUAUACAUUUACAAGAAUUAAGCAAUAAAAAGUGGAAUUUGUUAUAACAAUAGAUAUUUUUUUCAUAAUAAUUUAAAUAAGAUUAAAAAAUAAAUUAUGUUUCAAUUAAUUUUAAAUUUUAUCUUAAAAAUCGAUUAAAAUAUUUUUAUUUUUAUUUUUAUCUUUAAAUCUUUACAAAUAAAUUGAUAAAUAAAAAAAAAAUAAUUCAAAUGAUAAUUUUUUCUUCCAUUUUUAAAUUUAUCUUCAAAAAACCUUUGUAAUCUAUUUUUAUAUUUAUUAGAUUCUAAAGUUUAACACUUUGUUUUUUUAUUUAUGUUUAUUAAAAAUACUAAUAUAAAAUUUAUAAAUGAUUAAAAUAAAUGAUUUACACAUUUUUAUUUAUUCAAUUUUCAAUUGUAAUAAAAGAUAAUGGCAGAGAAGUUUUGCAUAUAUGAUUUUUAGGCUAAGACAAUUUUUAGCAUGUGUGGACCCCGUAUUUCUGUUUAUGCACUUUCACUCGAUGGCGAACUCGCUUUUUAUUUUAAAAAUGAUUUAUUACUUAGAAAAUGACUUAGAGUUGUUACUUAUUUUUGUUUUAUUUUUAAAGGCUAAACAAAAUAAGAAAGAAAACACUUAGUAUGACUCUUUAUUUGGAAAAUGUGGUCUGUGAAAAACCAAAUAUGAGCUCGGAGGUUAGGUUACUUAUUGGGAAGGUACGGUAAAGACCGUAGCACCCCUCUAAGUCCCUAAAGACGAGUCUCUACUGAUGAGAUGAAGCAAGUAUGACAAUUGAUUGAUCAAAUAUGGAUUCCGAAUGAAUAUCAAUCAAAACAAAAUAAUCGAAUGAACAAGAGAGGCAAAAAGCGUACCUGAGUGAUGAGCGGAUUUACUUCAAAGAAAACAAAGGUUAGUAAACAAGUACAGAAUAAUCGCAUGCAUGUCAUAGAGUGGAAUAAGUCAAUCAUGUAUAGCAAUCAAUCAAUCAAUGAGAGCAUCACAUAUGUUGGGCCCCCACUAAAGCCCGAUUUAUUUUUACAUAAAUUAAUCCCAUGAAUUUCCAUUAUUUGGAAUUACGGAAUUAAAUUCAUGCUUACUUCAAAACAUUUUUAAAAAUCAAGGAAAAUAUAAAAGUGGCUUGCUAGAAAGAAAAUGACAGCAAAAUUUUAUUGGAAGUGAGAUUUUUAUAACCUAAAAACUCUAGGGAUGAAAAAUUGUGGGGUUGAGAUUAUUUUAAAAAUACUAGAAUUCGAGAAAUUAUUUGAAGAAAUGGAUUUGGAAAAUUAUUUUCAAAAUCAAAGAUGAUGAAAUGGGAGAUGACACGUGGCCUAAAGGUGGCCAUGCUCUGGUGGACCCAGAGACUUGAAUGAAUGCGGAUUUUUCAACUCUGAUUCCAUCUUUUGCCAGAAUAUCAUCAGCCUAGAGUACUAGGCCCAUCACUUUUAAGAAAGUUGUGGUAGUCACAUUCCCUUGGAUGUAAGGAGCUUCAAUGCACCAAUCCUUUUUUGUAAAGCAACAUCAGAUUAUUCACUUGUCUUCCUCACCUAGUGCCUUGUCCCCAUUUUUCCUUUGUUGGAACCUUGACUCACCUUGCAUGGACGCUGGCAAAUCUUUGAUCAUGUCGGUCUGGCUAGUUGAAUCUUUUCUAGUGUUCUGUAUAGGUAAUUGAAGAGCAAAGACCAAAUUUUGAUCAUCUGCAACUGUCCCAGACGUACCUAUGUCUCUUGUGGCGAAGCUAGUGGCAGGGUCUUCCAUAAACAUUGCAAGGGCCUGAUGUAGCAAAGCAUUCCCAUAUAGAAGAAUGUAAUUCAUCAAGAGUGAAAAGUGCGGCGGCUGCUAACGAAAUAAUUCCUUUGUUUCAGGGGUCAACCUUGCCUCAUCAGGAAUUUUAAGUGAUUUUUCCAAUGCACAAACUUUCUGCGUGUUGUUAUUGGGUUUUUAGAAUAGAAUGGGGAAUGUCCAACAAACAUCUCAUACAUAACUGCACCUAACGAUCACUAAUCACAUCCCAUGCCAUAUUCUUUCUUCAAUAAUACUUCUGGAACAAUAGAACUCGACGUGUCUUCCAUGUAGAAUGCCAACGUCCUGUUUUUCUACCAAUGUCGACUUUGUUCAAGGGAAUUUUCCAAUGUUUCACAUGCUCAUAAUGACGACAACUAGUUUGAGCUCCAUAAUUUCCAAAAAACCUGUGAUGGAUCAGAUUUCCAUAUUGCAUUCUGAAAUGUGCCAGAACUCAUGCUGCUGCUUUCAUUGGCACCAAACUGAUCAACCUCACCAUUGGCAAAUCUGUUGCCACCAUCAGCAUUGACAGUAGAGUUCUUCAAAGCCCUCCAUGAACCUUUGUCAAGCUGGUAUUGUAAAUCACUAGCUUCAAACGGGUUUCAGGUGAGAAAUUCUUUUGGUUAACCCAAAUCAUCAAUCUUAGAGCAGUUCCUAACAUAAGGCAAGUCAUCUUCAAGAAGCUUUCUUCCUAUGUUUGUCCCAUCCUCAGCAUUAAAUUCAAUGCCUUUUAUAUUUAUGCUUUUCUCAGUAAACUGCAUUUUCCUUUUCAUAUCUUGCACAAUUAUUUAAAGGUUGAUCAAUUUCUAGGUGUUUUGCAAGAUUAUAGUCUUUCUCUGCAACCCAUACCACGGAAGCAGCAAAACCAAAGUAUACAGAAGCUAGAACCAUCAUGGACCAACUUGGUUUCACAUUUGCAGACAUGAAUAACCAGUAACCAGGAGUUCUAAGCGAGCAUUCUUUGACCCAUCAUCCUGUUCAUGCUCUGAAAGAAUUCCCAAGCAUCUUCUAGAACUUCUCAUAGUUAGAUAACUUUUCGUCAUUCAAGGUCAAAGCAGCAAUAAGGUUAGCAUUGGAGAAAACCAAGCCUGUAUGGCAUUUGGUGAAGUUCUCAUGCAACAGUAAAGCACCCGACAUCCUCACCAAUUCCUACACAAGUAGAUUACCCCAGACCAACUACAGUUGUUUGGAAAACCACUUUCAUAUGUCAAUGUACCAAAUCAGGAAACAAUUCCUUUACGUCCUGGUUUAUGAAUGUACCCAGGUGAUUAUUACUCAAAAAGAGCAUAUUUUAGAUAAUAAUUCUCAUAAGUUUCACAUCUUUUGAAUAAUAAUUAUGCCUAAAACACUCAAUUAACAUGUUUUUGCCCUUGCAAGAGUUACUAACAAGUUUUAUGAAGUUUUGGAGUCAUUUCAAGGUAUGAUUUUGAUAAAUUUGUGUCAAAAGAGAUGAAUCAAAUUGAAGAAAACAAAUAAAGUUGAUGAUGAUCCAAAUACACAAUGAAAGAAGUAAUAUAAUUGGUUUGGACCAAGCUUUGGAGCUGAAUUGAAGGUGGUGGAGGUGGAUUAAAAAUGAAGAAAUGGGAGAAAUUGCAAAGAGAAGUCGAAAAACAUGUUUUUGAAUUUUGCAUGACCAUGCGAAAUUUUCGCACAGUCAUGCGAAACGCUCUAAGAAGACGAAAAUAAUGCUAAUGGAUCCUCCACUUCGCACCAUCAUGCGAAAUUGCUGGGGCUCAUGCGAAAAUGUAUUUUCUCCAGAUUCCUUGAUAAAGAAGCCUCUAGAAGACCUCUGAGAUGAUGCCAAGUAUCCACUUUACCUUAGCCUAUAAAUAGAAACUUGAUUGACUCAUUUAAGAACUUUUGAUACAUUUCCUAAUUGUAGAACUUUUUAGACUUCUUCUCUCUAUAUAAUUCUCUACUUUCCUUCAUUUUCUCUCAUUUUCUCGGUAACUAAACAUGUCUUGUGAGAUCAAAUCUCCAAACAUGAGUGGCUAAAUCUCGUUUUUCUCGGAGGAGGGAGGAUCUAAAGACAAGAUUUAUGGUGAAUUAGAGAAUUGAGCUUGAAUUGCAAAGGUAAAUUGAUCCAAUUGAUUGAUUAAUUAAAAUUUGAGGAUUUUUCUCUUCAAAUUGUCUUGGAUGAUUACUACAAUGCAAGCUAGGUAGAUUCAUCAAAUUCUUAAUGCUAGAUUUGAUGAGAUUGAAUAGUUGCAUUGUGUGAAUCAUUGGAAGAUAAUUUAAGAUGAAUUGAAUAUAUGAUUUGAAUUGAUCUCUUGGAUUAGAUUACUUAAUUUGAAGAUAAAUUAGAUAUAGACCUAAAGCUAAAUAAAAAAUCGGUUUAGAUGAAAAUUAGAUCUCAACAUCUAUUCACCAUGGAAAUUGCUUUCUAGAAAAUCCUAACUUCGAGAAUUUCACCUCCUAUUAAUUUUUUUCUCUUUUACACUUCAUUUUCCUCUCAAUUUGAAAUCAUUAUCAUUUUGAAAUUUUGUCAUGCAUUUUCAAAUCAAUUUCACUUGAUCACAAUCAUUUCUUAUCAUCUCAUUCAAGCCUUAAUUACCGAGAAUAAUCCAUCAUUGUGGACGAUACCUAAAAACCACUAUACUACAGUAGUUUGUACUAAAACCACUUUUUGAUCGGGUACAAACUGCUAUAGAAUAGUGAAUUAGGUUAUAAAUUUUGUUUUGAUCCAAUAAACGACAAAAUCAUGAGCGAUAAAAAAUGGCACUGCUGCUAGGGAUGGUGCCUAGGUGAUUAAGGCAUGUUUUUUUUUUUGGUGAGGAUUAGCCCUUGUGAUCCACAUCACAAGAUUGGUGAAGUUCUCUUUACCGAUUCUCUAUUUUUCUUAUUAUUUUUUUAUUCCAUUUUUAUCUUUUAUUCCUCUUUUGUUCUUCUUGGUUUGUUUUGGUUUUUCUUGACUUGUUUUGUAGGCUCUCCAUUGCAUGCUACAUUGAGAAUAAAACUCAAAGGAGAGAUUGAAAAUGACUUAUAUUGCUAAUCAUUUUUGGUUUGUGAUCCAAUUGUUGAGAAAAUGGAAAAUCAAUGGGAAAAUCAACAAACUCAACAAGGACCAAACAAUGGCAAUUCUCACAUGUCUAGAUCAAUGAGAUAAUAUAUGCAUCCUCAAAGGAUUGGCAUGGGAUCAUGUAUAGUUUUUCCUAAUGAGCUUAUUGUGAUAAAAACUCACUUGGUACCCUUUUGACCUCAAUUUCAUGGAAUGGAGAAUGAGAAUCCUUAUACUCACAUCAAGGAUUUUGAAGAGGUUUGUCAUACAUUUCAUGAGGGAAACACAUCCAUUGAGCUUAUGAGAUUGAAGUUUUUUCCAUUCACAUUGAAGGAUAAGGCUAAGUUGUGGUUCAACUCAUUAAGGCCCCAAAGCAUAAGGUAAUGGUUGGAACUACAAACAACCUUCUUGAAGAAAUUUUUUCCCAUACAUCGCACAAGUGGCUUGAAAAGGCAAAUUACCAAAUUUGCGGCAUUGAACAAUGAAAUUUUUUAUGCUUGUUGAGAAAGAUAUAUGGAAGUAAUCAAUGCUUGUCCUCAUCAUGGUUUUGACACAUGGAUGUUGGUGAGUUACUUCUAUGAGGGCAUGUUGCCAACUAUGAAGCAAUUGCUAGAAACCAUGUGUGGAGGUGACUUUAUGAGCAAAAGUCCCGAUGAAGCCUUUGAAUUUUUGAAUUAUGUAGUUGACAUAUCAAGGUAGUGGGAUGAGUCACAUGAAAGGGAUUUACACAAGUCCAAGUCUCAAAACAAUUCAAAAGGAGGAAUGUAUAUGUGGAAUGAAGAUGUUGAUCUACAAGCUAAAAUGGUAGCUUUGACAACAAGGCUAGAAGAACUUGAAGUUAAGGGAUUUCAUGAGGUGGAUGCAAUAUAUGAUAAUCCAAUUUACAUGGAGCAAUGUUCUAGUUGUCAAUCUAUAGAACAUGAAGUGAGUGAUUGUCCUACAAUACCAGCUAUAGGGAAAAAACUUGUUGAGAAUCAUCCAAACAUGUCAUGGAAUUGUGGACAAGAGCAAUUUUCUUUAAGGCAAUACUCACAAAGCCAACAAUUCAUGGAAGACUCUCCACAACAAGUUUCUUUGGUUGAGCAAGCUAUUGUAAACUUGAGUAAAAUUUUGGGUGAUUUUAUUGGUGAUCAAAAGAAUAUCAAUAUUCAAGUAAACCAAAGGAUAGAUCAUGUGGAGACAUCUUUCAAUCAGAAAUUUGAUAGCUUGCAAACCAAUCUCACACAAAAGAUUGAUAAUAUGCAGCUUGCUAUUUCUAAACUCACAAGCAUGCAUAUGGUGCAAGAAAAAGGAAAAUUCUCUUCACAACCCCAACAAAAUCUAAGUGGAGCCCAUGAAAUUGGAGAGACAAGUGAAAGUUCUAUUAAGAAAGAUGAAGUCAAAGCAAUCAUUACCUUAAGAGGUGGUAAGCAAGUUGAUCAACCUAUGCCAAAACCAAAAGAGAAUAAAAGAGGGAAACAAAAGGAAAAUAUGAAAGAACAAGAAAAAUGGAAAGAAGUGAAUGAGGAUGAUAGAUCAAAGGAAAAUGAGAUUGUUAAAGAAGAGGUUAAGAAGAAAGAUAUGCUCUUAGCUCCACCUUUUCCCAUGGCUCUUCAAUCCAAAAAAGUGGCAAAUAAUGUUCCAAAAUUUUUUGAAGUUCUCAAGCAAGUAAAAGUCAAUAUACCACUCCUUGACAUGAUAAAACAAGUUCCAGCCUAUGCCAAAUUUCUUAAGGAUUUGUGUACCAUAAAGAGAGGGAUGCAUUUGAAAAAUAAAGCUUUCUUGAUUGAACAAGUUAGUGCAAUCAUCCAAUGCAAGACUCCAAUCAAGUAUAAGGAUCCGGGAUGCCUAACUAUCUCGGUGAAUAUUGGCAACACUUUUGUAAAAAGAGCACUUUUAGACUUGGGGGCAAGUGUGAAUCUUCUUCCCUACUUAGUAUAUAAGCAAUUGGGGCUUAGAGAACUAUAGUAUACUUCCAUCACACUUUCAUUGCGGAUAGAUCAGUCAAGUUUCCAAUAGGAAUUAUUGAAAAUGUGUUGAUCCAAAUCGAUAAUUUCUAUUAUCCAGUUGAUUUUGUGGUGCUUGAUAUGAAACAAGGAACUAGUGGACUCAACCAUGUUCCUAUUAUACUUGGCCGACAUUUCCUUGCCACAGUAAUGCAUUGAUUAAUUGUCAAAGUGGGGUGAUGCAACUUACCUUUGGUAACAUGACAAUUGAGCUGAACAUUUUUCAUUCAUGUAAGAAUCAUGGAACCAAAGAGGAGAAGGAACUUAAAGAGGCUUAUUUGAUUGAAUUCCCUAUAGAAAAGCUAGUGAAAGAAAAUAUUGAAGAUAAUUUUUCAAGAUGCCCACAAGCAAAGCACACUAAUAAAAAAUGCAGUAUCAUCUGACUUGACUCCACCUCUGCUUUUCCUCUCAGACCAAAAAUCCAUUCCCUUGAUUUCAAUUCUGUUACAUUGCUGAGAAACAGGCUUUCCUGAACUAGUCUCUCCAUUGGGAAGCCAAUAUUCGGGUUCUCCUUCCUUGCAUUUAUGAACAAUCAUAACACCCAUAUCCCCAGUUUUAGAUUGGGUAAAUUGAUGUGUCUGUUUUCAAUAUUUGGACAGGAAAUUUUGAAGUGGACAGUGACGGAAUUUUCGGUACUCAAGGUGCAAACCCAUAUUGAAUGACAUGAACCCCACUACAUCAAAACUAUCAUAGACCUCAUUAUAUGAUGUGAAGAUUGUAGUGGGGCUACUUUCGUCUUCAAGCACAACAAGUUCUGAGGUGGAACCAUGUGAAACAUCCCAUAGAUAUAUAGUGCCUCCAAGAGUAACAACCAGAACGUUGCUGCUAUCCCAGUCCAGUAAGUUCAAGUGAUAGUCAUCCACCAGGUUAGGAGCAGCCAAUGUUCUCUCAAAGGGUGAUACAUAGACCAAGGCAUUUCCAUAACUAGAUGCACAUGAGCAGAGGAGUAUGGGGAAUGAAAUAGCUAAAAACAGAGCAAGAAUGAGAGACUCAAGGAAUUAUUAGGCAAAACCUCGUUUCAUGAGCAAUAAACGGGCAGAGGCAAAUGUGAGACAAACUGGAAGUCCAUAAUACAACUAUCAAACAUCAAACCCAAAUCCAAAGGGGAAUCCAGCUAUUUACAGGGGAAAAUCAAGAGUAUGAAAGGAAACCAAAACAGAGUAUUAUGUACAAACAAAUCAUAUUCAAACAAAAUAACUAGGAAACUUGUGAUAUUCAAACUGAACAAUAGAAUAAUGCUUAGUAGAGAAUGAAAUGAAAUAUUAAGAAAAAUAGAAACAGGUCAAGCUCAAGGUGGCCUUACCUAGAAGUCCACAACAUAAACUUUCCUCUGUUUUUCCUUCUUCAGCUCCUCUUUCUCUGUCACAAUAACCAAAAUGAUCUUCUCUCUAUGUAACCCAAAAACACUAUUGCUCCUCAAGCUACCCUACUCGCUCUAGCAUCCACCAGGCUCCUCUCACAAAGAAACCCAGCUAAUUUCCCACAUCUCUAGCUAUCUCCAUUCCCAAGCUAUCCUAAAAACAUGCUAUUUUUCUCCUCAAGUCUCCUCAUUCUCUUUAACAACUCACUAUCUCUAUAAUCCCCACAAAACCCUCUCCCCUCUCCUCUGUCUUGCCUCCAAAGCCACCUUAAAAGUCCUUCUAUAAUCCCUCACAAAAUAUCUCACUUUCACCCUCAACAGAAUACGCUCCCCCAAAAAACUAUUUCUGAAUAUUCCCAUGACACGUGUCAGCCUCCCAUUGUUUCUCCAAACCACUAACAUGAUUCCCUAAUGGCCUCUCAAGAGUCGACACGUGGUCUUCCAAAAUUGUGACACAUGGCAAAAUGAUCCGCAAGAAAGUGAGCCCCAAAAUGGGGGUCUACAACAUGAAUUUUUUUUUUUUUGGAGAGGUUGAAAUCGAUUAGGAACAAGAUUUAAAAUGUUGAUAUUUUUAAGCUAAGCCAAUUCCCAAUCUAUAUAAUUCUAAAAUUACCAUAGUAGGAAAAAUAUUUCCAAAUCUACCAUAGUUUUGGACAAAUAGGAAAGAGAAAAAUAUAUAUAGUUUAAAAAAAAUCGUUUGACUAAAAUCGUCUCUUGAAGAAACCUGAAUAAAAUAAGAGGAUAAAUAUACUUUUUUUAAAAAAAAGUAAGAAAUCGUCUUUUGAAAAGACGAUUUUAUUAAAAAAAUAAAAUAAAGUAAUUAUUAAAAGUGGGAAAUCGUCUUUUGAAGAGACGAUUUUGUUAGGGGUGGGGGGUAAUCAUCUCUUCAAGAGACAAUUUUCAUAAAAAACAAAAAACAAACAAACAAACAAACAAACAAAAAGACAAAACAAAAAAACCAGAAUCAAAAAGUGAGAAUCUAAAAAAAAUGAGAUUUAAAAAAAAAAGAAAAAAAAAAAAAAGAAAUUGAUUUUCUAAAAAAAACUUCAAAAAUCAUAUAAUUAUUUAACAAAUUAAUAAUAAUUUUUUUUAUAUAAACUCAUUUUUCACAUAAAAUUGAUAAUAAUUUUUUAAAUUCCAAAAUAAAAGAAACAAAAAAUAAUAGAUAAAUAUUAUUUAUCUUAUAAAUAAAAAAAAAAUUAAAUUAAAUUAAUUUUAUUAAUUAUAAUUAAUUGAAUUAAUUUAAAUAAAAAAUUGAAGGUUAAGAAAUUUUUUUUAAUUCAAUAUAUAAUUUAAUAUAAAUUUUUUAAAUAUGGAAUGUUAAACAUAAUUUAUAUUUUAUAAAUAUUAUUGUUGAUAAAUAUCUUAAUAAUUAUAAUUAUUUUUAUAUAUUAGAUUGAGUAAAUAAAAUUAAUUUAUUUAUUUAUAUCUAUAUAUAUAAUAAUUAUAUUACUGUAUAAGUACAUUAUUUUUAGGGAAUGAAAAAAAUGGAUUUUUGAAGUUUUUUUUUUUUUUUUUUUUUGUGAAAGUAGUCUUUUGAAGAGAUGAUUGCGAUUUCCCACUUUAUAUAUAUAUAUAUUUGAAAAUCGUCUCUUUAGAAGUCGAUUUCUCACUUUUUUAAAAGAUAAUUUUUUUUAUAAUAAAAAAAAUAUGUUUCUCUUUCCUACUUGGACAAAGCUACGGUAGAUUUGAAAUUAUUUUUCCCACUAUGGUAGUUUAUUAAUUAUUUUUUAAAAUUAUCGUACUUUUAUCAAAAAUUCGAUUUUAUCGCUGUUGAAGGCUGAAGAAGAGUGACCCAAUCUAAACCACAAACCAAAUGGAGUAUUUGAAUCUUAAUGAUAUUUGAUGAAUAAAUAUAUAUAUUAUAUUGUUGUAAAAUUAUAAAGUGAAAGGAGAAGAAAACAAGAAAGAGAAAUUAGAAUGUAGGAAGAGAAUAGAAUAAAAUUUCAUUAGAGGUAUCUCCUUUUUAUAAGGAGUCACAAAGAAAUAUACACCAAUAUGGAUGAUCACCCAUAAAUUUCCAUAAUCCGAUAAAUUCUCAUAUUUUCUAACACUCUCCCUUGGAUGAUAAGAAGAAUAUGGUAACUGCCUUAUUAAAAACCUUUUUUGUAAAACCCAGUGGGAUAAAACCUGGACGAAGGAAAAAAGAGUGCAAUAUAUCCAUAUUAGAAUUCUCCUCUUCAUGUAAAUAUGAUUAUGAUUUCUUCAACAUUUCAAAUGGUAGAUCUCUCAAUCUUCGCAUUCCAAUGUCAUACCUUAACUUUUUCAAUGUGGUCGAAGGUAACGCCUUUGUGAUAGAUCUGCUAGAUUAUUGCAUGACCGAAUUUGUUGAACAUCAAUCUCACAUUUCUUUUAGAGCUCAUGAGUAUAGAAGAAUUUAGGGGAGAGAUGCUUAGUUAUAUCACCUUUUAUGAAUCCUUCUUUAAUUUGUGCAAUACAAGCAACAUUAUCUUCAUGUAACACGGUUGCAUUGCCUCUGAUGAAAGAUAGUCCACAUGUUUCUUGUAUAUGUUGGAUCAUUAGCCAUACACAUUCACGACUUGCUUCAUGAAUUGCAAGAAUUUCUUAAUGAUUUGAAGAUGUGGCUACUAUUGUUUGCUUGGCUGAUUUCCAAGAUAUUGUCAUUCCAUUAUAAGUAAAGACAUAUCUCGUUUGAGAUCGAGCUUUAUAAGGAUCUAAAAGAUGUCCUGCAUUUGCAUACCUAAUCAAUUAUGAUUUUGAUUUUUUUAAAUAAUAUAAACCCAUGUCACUUGUUCCACGAAGGUAUCACAAUAUAUGUUUAAUCUCAUUCCAAUGCUUUUUAGUUGAAGCAGAACUGUAUCUUGCUAGUAAGUUAACAAAGAAUGCUAUGUCUGGUCUUAGUACAAUUUUCAAGAUACAUUAGUACACCGAUUGCACUGAGAUAUGAUACUUCUGGACCAAACAGUUCUUCAUUUUCUUAUUUAGGACAAAAUGGGUCUUUGUUCACUUCAAGUGAACGAACAACCAUAGGGGAAUUGACUAGAUGUGAUUUGUCCAUAUAAAAUCAUUUUAAUACUUUCUCUAUAUAUGUCGAUUGACGGAUUAUAGACCCCCUUAAGAGAGCAAAGACAAUUAGUUUUUUUUAGGGAUUUUUUGAUAGCAUGGGAAGAAUGAUGUCUCGCCACUUGGAGGAGCUGGCGACACCUAGGAUAAGUGAGGGAGGGGGGCCCUUUGUCUACUGAAAGCCAGAUUAGAUGAGGCAGGAAAAGAGAAAGGAGGCCAUGUUGUUGACUGGUGAAUAGGGGACGGGAGGAGUGGCUUGCGAAGGAAGGAAAGAAAAACGGAGAAAAUAAAAAGAAACAGAGUAAGGAUAGGGGAGAGAGUUUCCUGAGAUUCAGGGUUCUGGGAAAUUUGGAGUGCAUGAGGAAGAGUGAGAGAGAACUGAGAAGAAGAGUUUGAAAGCCAUGGAGAAGCUGUAAGCAAGAGGAGCUAUAGGGAGGUGAUUUCGAGCUGAGCAGAGGAGGAGCUUCUCGUUUUGGUCCAGGUAUUUUCUAUGCUAGAUACACAAAGCCUAUGCUACACUGCAGCUACUUGUACAAUGUUUCAUAAGUGUGCCAUGGAUCCUUUGUGUUAUGCCACUAUUGACUUGACAAUAAUAGUUCCAAAGGUUAACAAUGCAGCUAUAUUUACAAUGACCCAAUGAGCUGGAAAAGUCCUUCGGUAAGUGUUUUUUUUAUCUAGAUCUCUUAGGCUUGGUAUAGUUCCUGGCCCAUCUUUGUCACCUGGAUCUUCUCAGCCAUUGGUUUAUACCAUCAGGAAUUCUGUAGUUGCAGUUGGGUUUUCAUGGAAUGUUAAAAGAUCUAGACAUGGGAAGGAAUCAUCCAUUCUUUUCAUAUCUUGCUUAACAGCUCUUAGUGGGGAUAGUGGUGUUGUUGGGGCCCUUUUGAAAAGAUUGCACUUUCACAACAUUGAAAGAAUGGAUAACACAACACUAUAUGCGCAUGGCUACCCUCAUCUCACCACCCAUCAGAAACACCACCCUCUCAUUUCCAUCAUCCCUUCCACGAGCAUGAGGACUGUACAUGCAUGUGGUCACCCUUCCUCUCUCCAUCAGAAACACCACAUUUUCUCUCUCUAAAGCAUCUCUCCAUUUCGCUCCUUCUCUAUCUUCCUCUCUUCAAGUUAUCAAUGGGUACGCGAAUCCCAUCUCACCAGCUCAGCAGUGGCCUUCACAUGUCUAAGCGGUGGGAUCAACACAAGGAGCGGCAGCCGACGACAGGGUCACGUGCAGCGCCGAUUACCGGAGACGACGUGAAGAAAUCUGGUGGCGUCGGGGGGCGGCAGUCAGGGCAGUUGGAGCCUUCAGGUUCGAUGGGGAAGGCGGUGUACGGUUCGUCGAUGACGAGCUUAAAUGAGGAGGUGAAGUUCAGACUCAAGGUGUCAAAGGCGGUAAUGUAGGUUUUUCUGGUGGUAGCGGGUUCAGAUUUGAGCCCAAGCCCAAGUUUGUAAUGGAAAUGGCUGUUUUAGGCUUGCCCAUGGUUCGGAUUUGGGCUUGGGUUUGGAGCCCAGCCCACGCAUUGAUGGGGAGCCUCAUUGUUCCUCAAACUAGCCACCCUCAUGGCCCAAGGCCAUGUUGGGUUAGCCCACUUGGAUGCCCUAACUCUAAAAAAAAAAAUCUCUAAACUCCUAAUCUUCAUAAUCUAUUUAUUAUUUAUUUUUUAUUACACCUUAUUACGUUUUUACCUACCUUCUUUAAUUUGACUUGAGCAUAACUAAGGGAUAAAUCAUUAGGGGUGAACAUCGUUUUUCUGAAACACAAAAUAAUUUAUAUUUUAAUUAUGUCUAAUCACCAUAUAUGAAAAACUUUUGUAUAAAUUAAUCUAUAUUGGACUCAAAGAAGUUUCUACAUUCUAGACUUUAAAUUCCAUUUUCAAAACUUAGGUCUUUAAGUAAUCCUUCAAAAAUCCCAUGUUUGAAUUUAAUCCUUCAAAUACUCGUUUAAAUCUCAUUUUCAUUAAUUAGAAUUAUUAUCAUAUAUUUAUAUAGUUAUUUAAAGUCUAACCCUUUUAAAAAUCCCAUGCCUCAAUUUAAUUUUUCAAUAGUUCGUUUGAAUCUUAUUUUCAUCAAAUAGAAUCAUUGUCUCAUACAUAUAUAGUUAUUUAAAGUCUAACCCUUUUAAAAAUCCCAUGUCUUAAUUUAAUUUCUCCAUAAGUCGUUUAAAUCUCAUUUACGUCAAUUAGAAUUAUUAUCACAUAUUUAUAUAGUUAUUUAAAGUCUAACCCUUUUAAAAAUCCUAUGCCUCAAUUUAAUUUUUCAAUAAGUCGUUUAAAUUUCAUUUACGUCAAUUAGAAUUAUUGUCACAUAUUUAUAUAGUUAUUUAAAGUCUAACCCUUUUAAAAAUUCCAUACCUCAAUUUAAUUUUUCAAUAGUUCGUUUGAAUCUUAUUUUCAUCAAAUAGAAUCAUUAUCUCAUACAUAUAUAGUUAUUUAAAGUCUAACCCUUUUAAAAAUCCCAUGUCUUAAUUUAAUUUCUCCAUAAGUCGUUUAAAUCUCAUUUACGUCAAUUAGAAUUAUUAUCACAUAUUUAUAUAGUUAUUUAAAGUCUAACCAUUUUAAAAAUCUCAUGCCUCAAUUUAAUUUUUCAAUAAGUCGUUUAAAUCUCAUUUACGUCAAUUAGAAUUAUUAUCACAUAUUUAUAUAGUUAUUUAAACUCUAACCCUUUUAAAAAUCCCAUGCCUCAAUUUAAUUUUUCAAUAGUUCGUUUGAAUUUUAUUUUCAUCAAAUAGAAUCAUUAUCUCAUACAUAUAUAGUUAUUUAAAGUCUAACCCUUUUAAAAAUCCCAUGUCUUAAUUUAAUUUCUCCAUAAGUCGUUUAAAUCUCAUUUACGUCAAUUAGAAUUAUUAUCACAUGUUUAUCUAGUUAUUUAAAGUUUAAUCCUUAAAAAAUUCCAUGUUUUAAUUUAAUCUUUCAAAUCCUAAAAACUCUACAAUUCAACUCAAUCUUAUUUUCAUCACUUAGAGUUACAAUCCUGUACUUAUUUAGUUAUUUAAAGUCUAAUCCUUCGAACAUUCCAUAUUUUUUUAAUUUAAUUUUUCAAUUCUAAAAAUUCUACAAUUCGUUUAAAUUUCAUUUUUAUCAAUUAGAAUCAUCAUCCCAUAUUUAUUUAAAGUCCAAUUUUUCAAAAAUAUCGAUUUAACUUUCAACCUUAGAAAUUCUAUUAUUCGCCUAAAUGUUAUUUUCGUUAACUAGAAUUCUUAUCCCCUACCUUUUUAUUCAUUUAAGGUCCAACUCUUCAAAAAUUCAAUGUCCUAACUUAAUUUUCAAACCCCUAAAAAUUCCACUAUUCUUUUUAUUCCAUUUAAAUGUUAUUUUCGUUAAUUAGUAUUAUCAUCCUAUACGAGUUUAGUUAUUUAAAAUCCAAUCCUUCAGAGAUCCAAUGUCCUAAUUUAAUUUUCAAACCCCUAAAAAUUCCACUAUUCUUUUUAUUCGAUUUAAAUGAUUAUUUUCGUUCAUUAGUAUUAAGAUCCUAUAUUAGUUUAUUUAUCCAAAAUCCAAUCCUUUAAAAAGAUCCAAUGUCAUAAUUUAAUUCUCAAUCCUAAAAUUCUACUAUUUGUCUAAAUGUUAUUUUCUUUAAUUAGAAUUAGUAUCUCAUAUUCAUUUACUUAUUUAAAGUCUAAUCCUUCGAAAAUCCCCUGCCUUAACUUAAUUUUUCAAUAAUUCGUUUAAGUCUUAUUUUCAUCAAUUAGAAUUACAAUCCCGUUUUUAUCUAAUUAUUUAAAGUCUAACCCUUCAAAAAUCCGAUGUCCUAACUUAAUUUUCAACCCUAAAAAUCCCACUAUUCUUCUUUAUUCAUUUAAAUGUUAUUUUCCUUAAGCAGAAUUGUCAUCCUAUAUUUAUUUAUUUAUUCAAAGUCCAAUUCUUCAAAAACCUGACUUCCUAAUUUAAUUUUUAAUCUCACGAAUCUCACUAUUCCUUUUCAUCCGUGCAAAUAUCGUUUUUAAUUAACUAGUAACGUUAUUCUAUAUUUAUUUGUUUGUUUCUUUUAAAAAUCUCAAUCUUUCAAAAUUUAAUUUUUAAUCUCACAAAUCUCACUAUUCACUUUCAUCCGUUCCAAUAUCGUUUUGACUAAUUAGUAGCACUGUCCCAUACUUACCUAUUUAUUUCUCUUAAAAAUCUCAAUCAUUAAAGUCUAAUUCUUCAAAAUUCCGAUUUCUAAAUUUAGCUAUCUGAAAUUCCAAUUGUCCUAUCUCCGAACUUAAUUUUCAGUUUCCCAUGCUCUAAUCCCCGUAUUUAUCCCGCUACUUAUUAUUAUCAUUAUCGCUAUUACUUUAUUCAUUAUUUCUAUAAAUUCUGCAUUCGAAUGAUUUUCAAGAUUGCUACCUUUUUUUUUUCUUUUUUUUUUCUUUUUUUUUUAUAUAUAAAUCGACAUUCAUAAUCUCUACUUCUCAAAUAACUUACAAUUCUGAUUUCUUUCAAAAUUUAAUUCCCAAAGCCCCCAAUUUUCGUAACUUAGUUUUCAUUUAAAAUCCCGAACCCUCAAAUCGUUUUCAAGUUUCCAAUCUCGUUCAAAUUUAAUUUCUAAAAAUUCUCAUUCUCACAUUUAGUUUCUGAAAGUCCGACCUUCAAAUGAACUCUAAAAACUCCAAAUUUUAAGCAACCUUCAAGACUCCAAUUUUUCAAAUGAAUUUCAAAAAAACCGAUUUUCUCAAAUAGUUUUAAUUCCAUUCUGGUCUUCAAACGAUUUUCUGCUCCCCUUGAUUCUAAUAAUCAUGAACGAAUUUUUCAUAAUUCCGAAAUAAUGAAGUAUGUGACAUUAAGUCAUGCAAAAAUAAACGGGCUUUGGUGGGGGCCCAACCUGGGUGACUUUAUGAUUGAUUGAUCGAUUGUUUGAUUGGAUUAUCAUACAUAUUGCUCUCUAACAUGCAUGAGAUUAUUUCUUAAUUGUGCACUAACCCACUCUCUUGAUAGCGCAUUGAUCGUUUGAUGCCAAGGUAUGCCCCGCUCCCACUUUGAUCGUUUUUUUUAUUGAGUGUUUUGAUUCUCAUAUGUGCAUGAUCAAUUUGAGUAUCCAUUGAUUUUCCUACUGAUUGUCAUGUCAGCUUCAUUUUAUUAGUAGAGACCCGACUUUAGGGACUUAGAGGGGUGCUAUGGUCUUUACCGUACCUUCUCGAUAAGUAACCUGACCCCCGAGCCCGAUCCGAUUUUUCGUAGAUCACCUUUUCCAAAAUAAGGAGUCGCACUUAGGGUUUUCUUUCUUAUUUUGUUUACCCUUUUAAAAAUAAAACAAAAAUAAGUGGCGACUCCAAGUCAUGUUUUUUUAAUCAAUGAAAAUCACCUUUCAAAUCAAAAUCGAGCUCGCCAUCGAGUGGAAAACGCAUGAGCCGAAAUACGGGGUCCACAAUAUGCCAUUUGAAUAAUGCUCGAUUUGUAGGCCGAGGCAAUAUCUUGUUUUCCCCAAGUCUUUCAUUUCAAAUUCCUUCUUUAAAUAAUUGGCUGCUUUUGUGAGCUCUUUAAGAGUUCCUAUAAGGUUUAAAUCAUCCACAUACACUGCAGUUAUUGUAAGUCCAAAUUUUGAUUUCUUGAUAAAAACACAUGGGCAAAUUGAAUUAUUCACAUAUUUUUCUUUUAACAAAUACUCACUCAAACGAUUAUAGCACAUACAUCCAAAUUGCUUUAAUCUGUACAAAGAUCUUUGUAGUUUGAUUGAGUAUAUGUUUCGAGGUUUUGGAUUAGUUGUUUCAGGCAAUUUGAAUUCUUCAAGGAUUGUCAUAUAUAUGUCAGUAUCUAUAGACCCAUAUAAAUAGGUUGUAACAACAUCCAUAAGACGCAUAUCUAGUCCUUCAGAGACUAUUAAACUUAACAAGUAUCAAAGUGUGAUUACAUCCAUUACAGGGGAAUAAGUUUCCUUGUAGUCUAUACCAAGUCUUCUAUUAAACUUAACAAGUAUCAAAGUGUGAUUACAUCCAUUACAGGGGAAUAAGUUUCCUUGUAGUCUAUACCAAGUCUUUGAGAGAAACCUUGAGCAAUAAGUCGUGAUUUAUAUCUUAUGAUUUCAUCAUUCUCAUUUCAUUUUUUCACAAAGACCCAUUUAUAUCAAACAUGCUUUAUGUUUCCAGGUGUUUGAACUAUAGGUCCAAGUACUUCUCGUUUUGUUAAUGAGUUUAGCUUUGUUUGGAUUGCUUCUUUCCAUUUUGGCCAAUCAUUCAUUUUUUGACAUUCAUUCACAGCUUGUGGUUCUUGAUAUUCAUAAUUUCUCAUGAUGUCCAUAGCCACUUGGAAUGCGAAUAUAUUAUCUAUGAUAAUGUCGCUACAAUCCUUUGUUUCUCUCAUGUGACUCAUUGAGAUCUCUUCAGUUCUAGAUACCGGUAUUUGAUCAAUUUGUGUCUCUUCAGGAGAUAACUGUUUGUCAAGUUGGGUUUCAUCAUUUGACCUUUUCAUAUUUGUGAACUCUUCAAAAGUACUAAGUUUUUCAUAUGUUGUUCAUUUUCUUUUUCUAUGAAUUAAAUCCUUCGAGCCAAUAGGUUUACCACGCUUCAGGCAUGUCUUAGAUUCAUUUGCGAUGGCAUUCUCCAAUUGUCUUUCAAGGACAUCAAUAUGUGAUGGGGUGUUCACAGUUGGCACGUGUGACUUUGUUACUUUCUUUAUAUCUGUGAAAACAUCAGGUAAUUGAUUUUCAAGUCCUUGCAAAUGAACAAUCCUUUGAACUUCUAACUCACAUUGUCUUGUGCAAGGAUUAAGAUAAGACAAGGAGGGUACAUACCAUGUAAUGUCUUACCAUUCUUUUGACUUGUCUUCCCCUAAUGAUGGAAAAACAUUUUCAUCAAAAUGAUAAUCUACAAAGCGGACAGUAAAAACAUCACCUGUGACUAGUUCAAGAUAAUGGAUAAUGGAGGGAGAAUUAAAACCAACAUAUAUACUAAGUAGAUGUUGAGGUCCUAACUUGGAAUGUUGAGGUGGAGCUAUGGGAACAUAGAUAACACAACCAAAAAUAUGAAAAUGUGAAACAUUUGGUUGGGAGCCUAAAACAAGUUGUAAAGGUGAGUAAUCAUGAUUAGAUGUAGGGCGAAUUCGAAUUAAAGUGGCAACAUGAAGAAUAGCAUGCCCCCAAGCAGAUAAGGACAAUUUUGUUUUCAAGAGUAAUGGUCUUGCAAUCAGUUGCAAACGCUUAAUUAUAGAUUCAACUAAUCCAUUCUGAGUAUGGGUAUGAGCAAUAGGAUAUUCAACAUCAAUACCAACCGACAUAUAAUAAUCAAGAAAUGUUUGAGAGAAAAAUUCACUAGCAUUAUCAAGACGAAUUGUCUUAAUAAGAUGAUUAGGGAAUUGUGCCUUGAGUCGAAUUAUUUGAGCAAGUAACCUAGCGAAUGUAGUAUUUCUAGUUGAAAAAAGACAAACAUGAGACCAACGAGUUGAUGCAUCAAUUAAAACCAUAAAAUAACGAAAAGGACCCUAGAUGCUAUGAGCAACUCUGGGUGGUGGUUUACAUAACGACUCUAAAUCCUCAAGUUAGGGCUCUCUAUGCUAUAAGCAGCUUUGGGCAAUGGUUGACAUGAAUGAGUCUAGGUCGUGAGCUCUGGACCUUAGAUGUUAUGAACAACUCAAGGAUGUUAAUGACAUGAAAGACUCCGAAUCACGAGCUUAAGGUUAUAGAUGACAUGAACGACCUGAGGUUUUAAGCUAAGGGCUAAAGGUCGUGGUUAACAUGAACGACUUUAGGUCGUGCGUUCAAGGCUUUAGAUGUUAUAAACAGCUCAAGGCUAUCAAUGACAUGAGCCACUCUGGGUCUUGAGCUUAGGGCUCUAGGUGCUAUGAAUAAUACUAGGUUAUGGUUGAUAUAAACGAUUCUAGGUCGUGAGUUUGGAUGCUAUCAAAAGCUCAGGGCUAUGGAUGACAUGAGUUAAUCAUGUUCAUGAACUCAAGGCACUAGAUGCUAUCGACAUUUCUUGAUUGUGGUUGAGAUGAAUGACUCCGGGUCGUGAGCUGAGGCCUCUUGAUGCUAUGAACAACUCAAGGUUGUUGAUGACAUAAAAUACUAUAGGUUAUGAACUCGGGGCUUUUGAUGCAAUGAACAACUUAGGCCUAUGGAUGACAUGAGCUACUCUAGUUCGUGAACUCAAGAUGCUCUAAAUGCUAUGAACAGCUCGGACAUGUGGAUAACAUGAGCUCAUCUUGGUCAUGAGUUGAGUUUUCUAAAUGCUAUGAACAGGUCAGGAUUGUGGAUGACAUGAAUGACUUAGGGUCGUGAACUAAAAGUUAUAUAUACUACGAACAUCUCAGGGUUGUGGUUUACAUGAACAACUUCGGGUCAUGAGUUUAAGACUUCAGAUGCUAUGAAGAACUCAGGGUUGUUGAUGACAUGUCCUAUUUUGGGUCGUGAGCUCAUGGCUUUAGUUGCUAUGAACUACUCUGGGAUGUGGUUGACAUGAAUGACUCCAAGGGGUAAGCUCAGGGUUCUAGGUGCAAUGAGCAACUCAAGGUUCCUGAUGACAUGAAAGACUUCAUAUCAUGAGCUCAAGACUCUAGAUUAUAUUAGCAACAUAAGGUUGUGGAUGACAUGAACGACUCUAGGUUAGGAACUUAGGGCCGUAGAUGCUAUGAACAGCUCUAGGCUAUGGUUGACAUUAAUGACUCCGGGUAUUAAGCUGAGGGCUUUAGAAGUUAUGAACAGUUCAGGGUUGUCAAUGACAUAAAUCACUCUGGGUCGUGAACUCAAGGCUUUAGAUGCUAUGAAAAACUUUCAGCUGNNNNNNNNNNNNNNNNNNNNNNNNNNNNNNNNNNNNNNNNNNNNNNNNNNNNNNNNNNNNNNNNNNNNNNNNNNNNNNNNNNNNNNNNNNNNNNNNNNNNGCUCUAAAUGCUAUGAAUAACUCUAGGCUAUGGUUGACAUGCAUUACUCAGGGUCGUGAGCUUAAGGCUCUAGAUGCUAUUAAUAUCUUAGGGUUGUAGAUGACAUGAGGUACUCUAAGUCGUGAGCUCAAGGCUCUAGAUGCUAUGAAUAACUUUGGGCUGUGAUUGGCAAGAACGACUCCAAGUUGUGAGCUCAGGGUUCCUGAUGCUAUGAACAACUCGGAGUUGUCGAUGACUUGAAAGACUACAGGUCAUGAGCUAAGGACUGUAGAUACUAUGAACUACUUAAGGUUGUGGUUGGCAUGAACUACUGUAGGUCGUGAGCUCAAGGCUCUAGUUGCUAUAAACAACUAAUGGUUGUGGAUAACAUUAGCUACUGUAGGUCGUGAGCUCAGGGUUCUAGAUGCUAUGAACAAUAUUCAGUUGUGGUUAACAUGAACGAUUUCAUGUCGUGAGCUCAAGACUCUAGAUGCUAUGAACAAGCCAGGGCUAUGGAUGACAUGAACAACUUUGGGUCAUGAUGUAAGGGCUCUAAAUUCAAUGAAUAUCUCUAGGUUGUGGUUGGGAUGAACAAAUCCGGGUCGUGAGCCUAGGGCUCUAUAUACUAAGAACGACUCAGGGCUAUGGAUAACAUGGGCUAUUCUAGAUCGUGAGCUCAGGGCUCUAAAUGCUAUGAACAACAUUGGGAUGUGGUUGACAUCAACGACUUCGAGUUGUGAGCUUAAUGCUCUAAACGAUAUGAACAACUCAGGGUUGUCGAUGACAUGAAAGACUCUGGGUUGUGAGCUUAGGCUCUAGAUUCUACGAAUAGCUUAGGGAUGUUAAGGACAUGUACAACACUAGGUUGUGAGCUUAGGGCCCUAGAUACAAUGAACAACUCUAGGUUGUGGUUGACAUGAAAGACUCCGAUUCAGGAGCUCAAAACUUUAGAUCCUAUGAACAACUUAGGGUUGUGGAUGACUUCAGCCACUCUAGGUCCUAAGCUCAAGGCUCUAGAUGCUAUGAAUAACUCUAGGUUGUGGUUGACAAGAACGAAUCCGGGUCGUGAGCUUAGGUCUUUAGAUGCUAUGAAUAGCUCUGGGUGGUGGUUGACAAGAACAACUCUGAGUCGUGAGCUCAAGGCUCCUAAUGCUAGGAACAAAUCAGGGUUGGCAAUGACAUGAAAGACUAUGGGUCAUGAUCUCAAGGUUCUAGAUACUAUGAACAACUCAGAGUUGUGGUUGACAUGAACAAUCCUAGGUCGUGAGAUUAGAGCACUAGUUGCUAUGAACAGUUGAGGAUUGUGGAUAACAUAAGCUUCUUUGGAUCGUGAGUUUAGGGCUCUAGAUGCUAUGAACAAUGCUAAGUUGUGGUUGACAUGAACGACUUUGUGUCAUGAGCUCCGAGCUUUAGAUGCUAUGAAUAGCUCAGGGAUAUGGAUGACAUGAAACACUCUAGGUCGUGAGGUUAGGGCUCUAGAUGCUAUGAGCAUAUCAGAGUUGUGGUUGACAUGAAUGACUCUAGGUCAUGAGAUUAGGACUAUAGAUGCAAAGAAUGGCUUAAAGGUGUUGAUAACAUGGGCUACUUUGGGUCGUGAGCUUAAGACUCUAAAUACUAUGAACAACGCUAGGUUGUGGUUGACAUGAAUGACUUCGGGUUGUGAGCUUAGGGCUUUAGAUGUUAUUAAGAGCUUAGGACUGUCGAUGAAAGACUACGGGUUGUGAGCUUAGGGCUUUAGAUACUAUGAACAACUCAGGGUUAUGGUUGACAUGAACAACUCUUGGUUGUGAGCUCAAGGUUAUAGAUGUUAUGAAUAGCUCAAGGCUACAAAUAACAUGGGCUACUUUGGGUCAUGAGCUCAAGGCUCUAGAUGUUAUGAAUAGCUUUAGGUUUUAGCUAACAUGAAUGAGUCUAUGUCAUGAGCUCAAGGCCCUAGAUGUUAUGUGUUAGAAAAAUUAGGUUAAUCCAACCUAUGGUAAUCACCCUAAAGGAGGGGAGGGGUGGGGGGGGGGGGGGGGGGAAUAGGGGGAUGGUCCAUUUUUGAAAAUUUAAACCAUGUGAAUGUAAAAGACAAUUAUAUGCCGGUAUAUAAUAAACAAUAUAAAGACCAUUGCCUAUAAAUUUAAAAAGUAGGGAAUAGAGAAUGCCAACCCCAGAUUUUAUAGUGGUUCGGCGCCACCCGACCCACAUCCACUCUCCUCUAGCUUCAAUCCCCAGCUUGAGGUUCCACUAAUUCAAGGCUUCCCAACCAAGCCUUCCAGCCAUACAAUUGGAUUAUGGGUCCCAUUCCCCCCCCUGAAUUUUUGGCUCCCAACCCCCUUUAUACUUCUCCAGAAAUAUCUCACUCUUGAACAACCUUUCAAGUGAUACCCCCCACUUGAGAAACCUCNNNNNNNNNNNNNNNNNNNNNNNNNNNNNNNNNNNNNNNNNNNNNNNNNNNNNNNNNNNNNNNNNNNNNNNNNNNNNNNNNNNNNNNNNNNNNNNNNNNNUGUGAAUGUAAGAGACAAUUAUAUGCAGGUAUAUAAUAAACAAUAUAAAGACAAUUGCAUAUAAAUUAAAAGAGUAGGGAAUAGAGAAUGCAAACACAAGAUUUUAUAGUGGUUCGGCGCAACCUGACCUACAUCCACUCUCCUCUAGCUUCAAUCCCAAGCUUGAGGUUCCACUAAUUCAAGGCUUCCAAACCAAGCCUUCAAGCAAUACAAUUGGAUUAUGGUUCCAAUUCACCCUCUUGAAUUUUUGGCUCCAAGCACCGUUUAUACUUCUCAAGAGAUAUCUCACUCUUGAACAACCUUUCAAGUGAUACCACACACUUGAGAAACUUCCUCUCAAAGAUUUACAAAUAAAUGAUCUCACAAAAUCCUAGUACAAAAACUUUAAGCACAAAUGAUACAAGAAAACUAGAAUUAAAUGGUGCACUAAAGAUAUGCAAGUUUUAAAACAAUGGUGCACUCAAAAACACUCUUCCAAGGCUAUAAUAUAUUCAAGAAAGGUUUGAAAAGGUUAAGCUCAUGAAACAAUAAAGAUUGGUGCCUUUUUAUAGAAGAAAAAAACUAAACUAGUCAUUGGGGGUUUGACCGGUUGACUAACUGUUAGCAUUUAAUGCUUGGAAGGUGACCAUUGGACCUUGGCCGGAUUUCAACUAGUUGAGGUUCAACUUUGACCGGUUGAACAACUGUUCUAAAAGAAAGAGUUUUUUUUCACCCUCGACCGGUUGAGCUGGGGGUCGACCCGGACCUCAACCAGUUGAGCUGAAGGUCAAUCGGUUCCUCAUUUGGUUCAACCGGUUAAGCCGUUUUUUGCUCAAAAACCAGUUUUUUCAACUUAAAACGUUUUUAAAAAGUUGGAAAAACAUUUGACAUAAGGUUUCAAUUGACAACAUGAAAUCAUCCAAUUUUAAAAAUAUUUAAAACAAAAUAACUCUUGGAUUAUUUCAGUGCAUAAGUAAAGAAUGUAAUGCAUGAAAAUCCUAGUGCACCAACAACCUUACAAAGAAAUCUUAUGAAGCUUGGGUCUUGAAAAACACUUCUCUUUGAGGUGGUUUUCUUCUUCAUGAUUUCUCUUUGACUUGAUUUGUCUUUGUGAUUGCCACUUUGGAAAUCAUCUUGCCUAAUCACACUUGAAAUAUAAUCAUUAGUUUUAAACUUUAUUUUGUUAUCAUCAAAACCAAGAUUAACCAAACCUUGGUUUCACACUAUGAACAACUCUGGGUUGUGGUUGAUAUGAACGACUCUGGGUCUUCAGGUCAAGGCUUUAGAUGUUAUGAACAGCUCUGGGCUAUGGUUGACAUGAACGACUCCGAGUUGUGAGCUCUAGACUUUAUAUGCUAUGAACAACCAAGGUUGUUGAUGACAUGAGCUACUCUUGUUCGUGAGCUUAGGGUACUAGAUGCUAUCAAUAGCUCUUGGCCAUGCUUGACAUGAAUGACUUCAGGUCAUGAGCGGAGGGCUCUUGAUGCUAUAAAUAGCUCAGGGUCGUCGAUGACAUAAAAUACUAUAGGUCAUGAGCUCAAGGCUCUUGAUGUUAUAAACAACUUAGAAUUGUGAAUGACAUGAGCUACUCUAGUUUGUGAGCUUAGAGCUCUAGAUGUUAUGAACAACUCAGCGUUGUGGAUGACAUGAGCUCCUCUGGGUCGAGAGCUUAGGGCUCUAAAUGCUAUGAAAAUAAUAAAAUGUGAAAUAAACUAUAAAAAAUGAAUAAUAAAUAAUGUGUUUAAAGAUGAUAACAAAAUAAACCUAUUUGCAAAGAACUAAAUAAGAACAUAACAUUUAAUCAUUACAAACAUUUCCAUCACCAAUUAGAUGGUCAAUUUCCCAUUAGGAUUCUCAAAGAAAUCUGAAACAUCUAAAUGGGUUAGAUCUAUUGGGUCAUCACUAUCAAUGAAGUUCAUUUCAACUUUCUUUCCUUUUGCUUUUAUUGAGGCUUGAUAAAGGUCAACAAAAUGUUUUGGAGUACGAAAAGUAUGUGACCAAUGUCAUUUCAUGCCACAUCUAUGACACUUAUUCUCACGAGCAUGUUUACUUUGUGGUUCUAUCCCCUUUUCAGGUUGUGCCUUUGAAUUAUUCCACUUCUGGUGGUUUGAGUUGUUAUUUUUACUUUGAGAACCACUACGAUGAGAAGAAUUGUGUUUAUCGCGACCUUGACAGCAACCACGUCCUUGACCUCGACCAUAUCCACGUCAUUGUCCAUGUCUAAGGGUUUGAAUAGAUGUGGCAUUGACUUCAAGCAAUGACAUAGACCUAAUAGGACAAGAUUGAUGGUUUUUCAAUAAUAGCUCAUUAUUUUGUUCAGCCACAAGAAGACAUGAGAUCAAUUCUGAAUAUUUAGUGAAACGACGUUCUCAAUAUUGUUGCUGUAAGAGCACAUUCGAGGCAUGAAAAGUCAUGAAUUUUUUUCAAGCAUAUAUUUUUCAGUGACCUUUUCUCCACACAAUUUUAAUUGUGAGCUAAUUUUGAAUAAGACCAAGUUGUAGUCACUAACAGACUUGAAAUCUUGUAAUCUCAAGUGCAUCCAAUCAUAGCGUGCUUUUGGAAGGAUUACGGUCUUUUGGUGGUCAUAUCAUUCCCUUAGAUUAUUCCAAAGGAUGAAAGGAUCUUUAACUGUAAGGUAUUCACCUUUUAAUCCUUCAUCAAUGUGAAGGUGAAGGAAUAUCAAAGCUCUAGCGCGAUCUUGCAAGGAUGCGUCAUUUAGUUCUUUAAUGGUAUUUCCAAGAUUCAUCGCAUCUAGAUGAAUUUCAGCAUCCAGAACCCAAGAUAAGUAGUUUUUGCUCGAAAUAUCGAGUGCAACAAAUUUAAGCUUUGCAAGGUUUGACAUUAUUUGAAAGCUAUAUAUAAUAUUAAUCAGAGAAAUAUUUCAAUUAUUAUAAUAAACUAUUAAUAAAAUGCUUUAACAAUAUUUCAAGUAAACGAUAUCUAAAAAUAUUAUGACCUAAAAUUUAUCAAUUAUAAAUAUGGUAAAAAUGUAUGAAUAUGAAAUAAGAAUUAAAAUUUAAUAUAUAUAUAUAUAUAUAUAUAUAUAUAUAUAUAUAUAUAUUUCUUUUUCAUAGCUUCGGGCUAUGAUUAUUUUAUCAUAACAAAAAUGUGCAAAGUAAUAGAUAGCUUCAAGCUAUGAAUUAUUUUAUGUAAAUUUGUGCAUAAUUUCGGGUUGUGAUAUUUCAUUAUGUCAAUUUGUACAUAGCUUCAGGCUAUGAACAUUUAUUUAUUUAUUUAUUUUAUAGCUUUUGACUAUAUAAUAUUGUUUGGUAUAACAUCCAGUUAUACCGUAUAAUUAAAAAUAAAUAAUUAGUGAUCAUAUAUAUAACUUCUGAUCAUGUAUAUGUAAUUCUGUAAUUUUUCCCCAUAACUUCUAGUUAUAGGAAUUGUACAUAUUUUUCAUAAUUUCUGGUUAUGAAUUUACCCUAUGAUUUAUAAUUUACCCCAUAACUUAUGGUUAUAGGGAUUAUACAUAUUUAUGUAUUCAAAUAAAAUAAAUGAAAAUAGAAUUCAAAGGGUAAUAAAAUAGAAAAUCGUGAUAUAAGUUUAUCACAUACAUUUUUGUGAGAAAUAAGAGAGAAAAGUCUUUCUAUUUCUCUGAAAAGGAGAACGUCUUUUCUAUUUCUCUGAAUAGAGAAAAAUCUUUCUAUUUCUUUUGUAGAGACUAAUUGUGCUGAUAACAUGUUGUAAAAUUAUAAAGUGAAAUGAGAAGAAAACAAGAAAGAGAAAUUAGAAUGUAGGAAGAGAAUAUAAUAGAAUUUCAUUAGAAGUAUCUCCCAUUUAUAGGGAGUCAUAAAGAGAUAUACAUCAGUAUGGAUGAUCAUCCACAAUUUCCCAUUAUCUGAUAAAUUCUCAUAUUUUCUAACAUAUAUAUAUAUAUAUAUAUAUAUAUAUAUAUAUUUAAAAACUUUUUAUAAAAUAAAAAUAAAUAUUUAUCAAAUAAAAUAAUUUAAAUUUCAUUUAAUUUAAACUAUUAUUAAAAAGAUAAAACCAUUAUAUCUUAAUAAUUUGUUUAUAUAUACUGUAAUUAAAUACAAAAAAAUAACUAUUUAUAAAUAAAAUUAUAAGUAUUUUUUUAAAAAAAAUUUAUAUAUAUUAUAUAUUUCAAGUUUUCCAAUAAAAAUUAUUUUAAUAGGCAUAUUAUUGCUUCUCUUAUAAUUUUUUUAGGUUUUCUUUGAUGUUCUCUUGAAUUUUGAUCAAUUUUUAUUUUAUCAAUAUUUUUUAUUUUUUGAUAUAUCUAUAAAACCUAAUGAUAUAUCUAUAAAAUCUAAUGAUGGAAAUAUUCAUAUAAAUGGAUAUUUUCUUUCUGAUUUUUGGGGUGAAUUCUAUUAUAAUAAAGAUGGGUGUGUAAGUGUUUUAUGGGAAGGAGCCAUAUGUCAAUAACAGGGACGCUUUACUCUUAAGCAUCAUUAUUAUAAUGACCUAUAUUUAUAAUAUAUAUAUAUAUAUAUAUAUAUAUGUAAUAUUAAAUUUAGUUUUUAAAUGAAGAUUAAAAACUUGACUAGUGGAUUGAUCAGUUACUUAAAAGUAAAAUUGUGGCAAAUGGUUAAUGAGGUAAUUAACAUAUUAAACUAGUUGAUUGAUCAAAUAGAGAUUGCACCUAAGAGUUCCUUGCAAUAUCGAUUUUUCAAUUCGAUUCACCUUUGAUCCUAGUAUUUAGGAUGUCUGAAAUAUCAAGGCCAUCAUUAUUCAUGAAUUUUUUUUGUUUUUAAAAUUUAAAUUUUAAUAAAAUUAAAUAUGAUUAUGAAUAAGAAGUUCUAUUGAGUUAAUUUGAGUGAUUCAAGCCUUUAAUAAUGCAUAAAUCAUAGUGUUUAUGUGUUAUUAAAGUAUAUAUUUUUUACUCUAAUAAGUCUCGUAAUCU